GGAUGUGAUGACUAUCUGGCUGCGACAUCUGUUACCCCACUGAACGUCAGGAUUGAUUCAAUUGAUCUGGCUGGUUAGAUGGGUGUCAUUUCUUCCUCUUACCACUGCUUCUCUAUAGAGAAGAACCCUUCUUAGGUCAAAGGUAUAGGAGCAGCUGGACUUCCCUGCUACAACCUCCAAGGAAGCUCUCAAGGUCCAUUUGUAGGAGAACACAGGGUAGUCAAGUUUCCAAGAAUCCAGACACAUCUAAAUGAUUGGAGUUGCAUUUGGAAGUUUGCCCUUCUU
This is an unclassified non-coding RNA of Cercocebus atys (sooty mangabey), 285 nucleotides long. Its record names the gene 7SK. It matches the Rfam family "7SK RNA". Rfam says of the family: 7SK was discovered as an abundant small nuclear RNA in the mid-70s but a possible function has only recently been suggested. Two independent studies have found that 7SK RNA binds the CDK9/cyclin T complex (known as elongation factor P-TEFb). P-TEFb activates transcription by phosphorylating the C-terminal domain of RNA polymerase II. Lineage: Eukaryota; Metazoa; Chordata; Mammalia; Primates; Cercopithecidae. The record is from Ensembl.